GUGGCGAACGGGUGAGUAACACGUGAGCAAUCUGCCCUUGACUCUGGGAUAACUGCGGGAAACUGUAGCUAAUACCGGAUACUUUCCUCGCUGGGCAUCCAGCGGGGAAGAAAGAAUUUCGGUCAAGGAUGAGCUCGCGGCCUAUCAGCUAGUUGGUGAGGUAAUGGCUCACCAAGGCGACGACGGGUAGCCGGCCUGAGAGGGUGACCGGCCACACUGGAACUGAGACACGGUCCAGACUCCUACGGGAGGCAGCAGUGGGGAAUAUUGCACAAUGGGCGAAAGCCUGAUGCAGCAACGCCGCGUGAGGGAUGAAGGCCUUCGGGUUGUAAACCUCUUUUAGCAGGGAAGAAGCGAAAGUGACGGUACCUGCAGAAAAAGCACCGGCUAACUACGUGCCAGCAGCCGCGGUAAUACGUAGGGUGCAAGCGUUGUCCGGAAUUAUUGGGCGUAAAGAGCUCGUAGGCGGUUUGUCACGUCUGCUGUGAAAAUCCGAGGCUCAACCUCGGACUUGCAGUGGGUACGGGCAGGCUAGAGUGCGGUAGGGGAGAAGGGAAUUCCUGGUGUAGCGGUGGAAUGCGCAGAUAUCAGGAGGAACACCAAUGGCGAAGGCACUUCUCUGGGCCGUAACCGACGCUGAGGAGCGAAAGCGUGGGGAGCGAACAGGAUUAGAUACCCUGGUAGUCCAC
This 689-nucleotide ribosomal RNA is filed under the name uncultured Microbacteriaceae bacterium. Its description in RNAcentral is "bacterial SSU rRNA". It matches the Rfam family "Bacterial small subunit ribosomal RNA", at positions 95 to 798 of the family's 1533-position model. Lineage: Bacteria; Bacillati; Actinomycetota; Actinomycetes; Micrococcales; Microbacteriaceae. The record is from RNAcentral.